This is a long non-coding RNA of Hippocampus comes (tiger tail seahorse), 1253 nucleotides long. RefSeq lists it as uncharacterized. The transcript is spliced from 2 exons. NCBI's taxonomy places the organism in Eukaryota, Metazoa, Chordata, Actinopteri, Syngnathiformes, Syngnathidae. The record is from RefSeq and is a predicted model, not a curated record.
CUGUUUGCUGCGGAGGAACAAUGACAUGUUUAUUUGCAACUGAGCUGAUGAGAGACGUCAGAUGCUUUUGUGUGUGUGUGUGUGUGUGUGUGUGUGUGUGUGUGUGUGUGUGUGUGUGUGGUGGGGAGGGGGUCAUUUUAAAGGUCUGUGUAAAUUUGAUGCUGCAAAGCUUGGGGAUGGAGCGAAUGAGAACCAUACAACAAUCAAAUCUAUUGUAGUGUACACACACACACACACACACACACACACACACACACACACACACACACACGCGCGUGCACAGUUUCAUGAUGGCAACAGAAAUUUUACUUACGUCGCCACCCCUAAAUUUUCACAUUUACAAAAAUGAUUUCAUUAAAGCCAUUAAAACUAUGCAAGUAUAAAUAAGAUAAAAAAUGCAAAGUCAACCAUUUAAAAAAUAAUCCAUCAUACAUUUUAAUUUAAAAAAAAAAAGUUAAAAUAAAAUAAGCAACAACAACAAUAAAAGUUAGCUUUUUAUUUUUAAGUAUUAUGAUAGCAAGAUUCUGGAACUCCUCAAUUCACUUUUUCCAGGAAAAUGUCUUUCCAAAUAUAACCAGGUUGUGUAAAAAAGCUUUUUUUUUUUUUGCUAAUAAAAGAUUACUUUUUUUUUUUUAAUCAGAUAUCAGUUAAGUUUUUAAAGAUUAAUUUUGGGCACUGAUUCUGAAUAUGCCUUUGUUUUAUUUCUCGUCGAGCACAUCAGGUUUCCCUCAUAAUAAUAAUAAUAAUAAUAAUAUAAUGGAAUAUCAUAAUAUUAGUUUAGGUUCAGCAACAGGUUUUUUGUUUUUUUUUGGAAACGUCAUGGCUAGAAAUGACAAGGUAUGGUAAAAUCCGUAUCCUGCAACCCUUCCCCCCCACGCCCCUUCAAAUACCUGAUGUGCUAGAAAAAAAGUAAACACAUUCUUGAAAUCAGAGUCAGAAAUGCGUUUCGGGACACAUGAAGACAUCUCUGAUUCCAAUUUGUUGUUGUCUAGUGUAACUUUCCAUUUUUCUUUAGCAUUCGCCACGUGAACGGAGCACAAAAGUGUUGUUUGUGAAAACCGGCCAAUCGCGUGACUCCUUUUAGGCGCCGAGAAGACGCAGACAGCAGGAGGCGGACGCAUUUUGGGAUUGAUUCGAUUUAAUGAUUAGGACUCGGAUGGACGGCCGGGCCAACCCCCGUCCUCCCUCUCGACAAGCCGUCAUUGUCACAUUCCUGAAGCGCCGUCCGCGCGACAAGACGCCACAUUCACAAA